Molecule: non-coding RNA, 24 nt
Filed under: Arabidopsis thaliana (thale cress)
Lineage: Eukaryota; Viridiplantae; Streptophyta; Magnoliopsida; Brassicales; Brassicaceae
Source: RNAcentral
ACAACAGGCCGGUUGAAUAGUUAC